This 521-nucleotide ribosomal RNA is filed under the name uncultured bacterium. RNAcentral's name for it is "bacterial SSU rRNA". It matches the Rfam family "Bacterial small subunit ribosomal RNA", at positions 444 to 903 of the family's 1533-position model. The record is from RNAcentral.
AAGGAAUUGACGGGACCCGCACAAGUAGCGGAGCAUGUGGUUUAAUUCGAGCAACGCGAAGAACCUUACCUAAGCUUGACACCAAGACCGAGCCAACGCAUGAGGAGGAAGCCCCGGCUAACUACGUGCCAGCAGCCGCGGUAAUACGUAGGGGGCUAGCGUUAUCCGGAUUUACUGGGCGUAAAGGGUGCGUAGGUGGUUUCUUAACUCAGGAGUGAAAGGCUACGGCUCAACCGUAGUAAGCUCUUGAAACUGGGAAACUUGAGUGCAGGAGAGGAAAGUGGAAUUCCUAGUGUAGCGGUGAAAUGCGUAGAUAUUAGGAGGAACACCAGUAGCGAAGGCGGCUUUCUGGACUGUAACUGACACUGAGGCACGAAAGCGUGGGGAGCAAACAGGAUUAGAUACCCUGGUAGUCCACGCCGUAAACGAUGAGUACUAGCUGUCGGAGGUUACCCCAUUCGGUGGCGCAGUAACGCAUUAAGUACUCCGCCUGGGAAGUACGCUCGCAAGAGUGAAACUCA